RNAcentral lists this ribosomal RNA (699 nucleotides) under uncultured bacterium. RNAcentral's name for it is "bacterial SSU rRNA". It matches the Rfam family "Bacterial small subunit ribosomal RNA", at positions 92 to 826 of the family's 1533-position model. The record is from RNAcentral.
GGAGCGGCGGACGGGUUAGUAACGCGUGGGAACAUACCCAACUCUAAGGAAUAGCCACUGGAAACGGUGAGUAAUACCUUAUACGCCCUUCGGGGGAAAGAUUUAUCGGAGAUGGAUUAGCCCGCGUAAGAUUAGAUAGUUGGUGGGGUAAUGGCCUACCAAGUCUACGAUCUAUAGCUGGUUUGAGAGGAUGAUCAGCAACACUGGGACUGAGACACGGCCCAGACUCCUACGGGAGGCAGCAGUGGGGAAUCUUAGACAAUGGGCGCAAGCCUGAUCUAGCGAUGCCGCGUGAGUGAUGAAGGCCUUAGGGUCGUAAAGCUCUUUCGCCAGGGAUGAUAAUGACAGUACCUGGUAAAGAAACCCCGGCUAACUCCGUGCCAGCAGCCGCGGUAAUACGGAGGGGGUUAGCGUUGUUCGGAAUUACUGGGCGUAAAGCGUACGUAGGCGGAUUAGUAAGUAUGGGGUGAAAUCCCAGGGCUCAACCCUGGAACUGCCUCAUAAACUGCUAGUCUUGAGUUCGAGAGAGGUGAGUGGAAUUCCAAGUGUAGAGGUGAAAUUCGUAGAUAUUUGGAGGAACACCAGUGGCGAAGGCGGCUCACUGGCUCGAUACUGACGCUGAGGUACGAAAGUGUGGGGAGCAAACAGGAUUAGAUACCCUGGUAGUCCACACCGUAAACGAUGAAUGCCAGACGUCGG